UGGGGAAUCAUGGUCAAUGGGCGAAAGCCUGAACCUGCGACGCCGCGUGAGUGAUGAAGGUCGUAAGAUCGUAAAACUCUUUUCAGGGAUCUUAAAGCCUGUCCGUCAACAACGGGCAGGUCUGGCUCUCCCUGGAAGAAGCCCCAGCCAACUACGUGCCAGCAGCUGCGGUAAUACGUAGGGGGCGAGCGUUAUUCGGAAUUACUGGGUGUAAAGGGUAUGUAGGAGGCCCUUCAAGUCGGGCGUCAAAGUCCAGUGCUCAACGCUGGGUGUGCGUGCGAUACUGACGGGCUUGAGGGCUGGAGAGGUGAGCGGAAUUCCCGGUGUAGUGGUAAAAUACGUAGAGAUCGGGAGGAACACCAGCGGCGCAGGCGGCUCACUAGACAGUUUCUGACGCUAAGAUACGAAAGCGUGGGGAGCAAACA
Molecule: ribosomal RNA, 425 nt
Filed under: uncultured prokaryote
Description: bacterial SSU rRNA
Rfam family: Bacterial small subunit ribosomal RNA
Source: RNAcentral